Hyaena hyaena (striped hyena) is the source of this 310-nucleotide long non-coding RNA. RefSeq lists it as uncharacterized. Lineage: Eukaryota; Metazoa; Chordata; Mammalia; Carnivora; Hyaenidae. The transcript has 2 exons. The record is from RefSeq and is a predicted model, not a curated record.
AAGCUACCCAGGUGCCCCAGGUGAAACUUUUAAAAAGGACCACGCGGUCACGACAAGCAAAACAGAACUCAAGCGAUAGCAAGACACAGGGCAAGGGCGGCGGAUUCCAAGACUAGAGAGGAUGGGAGCAAAUUAGUGAAGAAAGGAAACGGGAAGGAAAAAGGGGCGUUUCAGACGCCCUGGGAGCCCGUCCUAUUCCCAGCUGAGACUAAGGAACCGGAGCAGAACACUCGAACCUGUGGCCACUUUCCAUCAAAUAACUUAGAGAUCAAAAAAAUAAAUAAAUAAAAUAAAAUAAAUAAAUAACUUA